GAGAGAUGGGGGGAGAGAGAGAGAGAGAGGAGAGUUUCUGGCGUUGAGUGUAUUUAUCUCUUUUUCUCUUGCUGUCUCUGUCUGUGUACUUCCAGGGGAUUUGGUUUUUAGUAGGGUACUGUGGAUUUCUAGGUCCCCAGGACAAAUCUCCUGCUGCCUCUCCCUCUCUCUGCCCUGUCUCUAUCUCCCUCUGCAGUCUUCACUCCACUUGCUGGCCAGCGACUUCACAACUGCCUCCUGCUUUUAAGGUGGCUCUGGACGGGUGUAUGUGGGGAGGGGGGGCCGCCUGGGCUGCUAGUGAGCAGCUCCUUAAAUAGCCGAUUAGGUAUGCAGGAUGGCCCCACUAGGAUCUGGAGCUCCACGGGUUUCACCGGAGCCCUGGCCCUGGCUCAGGAGCCCAGCUGGAGUGAACUCUUCCCUCCUCUGCUAUUCACACCGCCGCCGCUCAGACGGGUGUCCCCUGGAGCAGGAAAGUUUUGUGUUUUGAGGUUCCUCCAAAGCUCCAUCCAUCCCAUCUAAGAAGAAUAAAAGGCUUAAAGUAUAAAUUGGACUUCUGCGGAAUCAGGGUAGUUAACACAAAGGAACAGAAAAAAAGAAAGAAGGCAGAGAUAGCUUGGUAUGAAAGAAGAGGUCUAGUAGGAAAGAAGACGUCUGGACAGAAUGACCUCUGCCAGGACAGAGUUCCCUGGAGCCACAGGGGCUGAGGAUUCAGACUCCCAAGGCAGGAACCCACUAAGUGCUCUGCGUUUGUGUGGUGGAGUAAAUGAGAGUUCAAUAAAGAAGGGAAGAUCAAAAGGGAACAAGCAUGGUCACACAGGAACUUACUCAAGCUCCAGUACUGCGGAUAACUAAUUGCCGAGAAGAGAGGAUCCGUGAGGAGACAAGAUUAGAUGGAAUGAGAUUUCCUAGAAGAACAAGCCGUGUGCCAUGAAGUAAUAGAGACCCAGAGGUGUUCUAGUUCGGUCCCAAGCUGAUGGUGACACUGGUGGUUGAGGAUCCACACUUGAGAACCACUGCCUUGUACCAACGGGAGAAGCAGAGGAACGUAAACUAAGGACCCUAGAAUUGGUGUUCCACCUCUAGGCAAAAAUUCAGUAUUUUUCUUUCCCUUGUGACCUAUCAGCUAUCACGCAGAAAUAAAAUUCACUUGUAUUGUGAUUAAAUUUCUGUACAAUGACUCUUAUCUUCUUAUGGUCUUUCAGUAUAAAGUGAGAGAUAAGUUAAUUUGGGGGAAAUUUUGGCUUAAAGAUAGGUAAAGUCUACAUUAGUGAGUGUAGCAAGCUCUUCAAAGAUACAUGUUAACCCAUCAUUUUAUGAGAAAGUAUGACACUAAAAUAAUUUCUACGAGUGCAAAAUACUGUUGUAUAUCAAAACAGCUUAAAUAACUGAGCAGGAGAAAAACUUAAUUAAAUGUAUCACAAUCCACCAAUAGUCAUCCAACUUCUAUCAAAUCUCAGAAUAUUUCAGUAGAAUGACAUUCAACUCUAAUCACUAAGAUUUUGUAUUGGUAUUUUUGUGGAAGCAAUUGGCUUGAUUGAACUGAAAUUAAGUGGAAACACAAACACAGCCUUGGCAAAAAAAAAAAAAAUCUAAUCUGUAUUAAUAAGUAAAGAAGCAGGGGAACAUAAUUACUAAAACAUAUGGCAGAGGUGUACACCAAAAUCAUGUCAACAGGUAUUGUGCAUUGAAUAAGUUUUCUAUCUUAUAAUUGUGUAAGUUUGGAUUUGGUAUGCUAAAUUUCUAUAUAAAUAGAUAUAACUGUAUUCUUGUCUUUCAUCACAGAAUUAGAAAAGCAGCUAUUAGUUGAAAGACUGUUGGUCUACUGACUAUAUUUUGUUUGUGGAAAGUCCACAAGUUAGCAGUUAGUUAUUUCAUGUUAUUUUUAAGUUUAAUUUUUUAUCAAAGUAGUAGAGGUAUAUAGUUUAAAAAGUCCAAUAGAUUAACAAAGGCUGUAAUGAACCAUUUUAUUCUUCCUACAUCUAAAUCCUACUUCCUAGAGACAAUCACUGCAACUUUUUAACUGUUUCUACUAGUAUUUAACUUAAAUUUCCAAAAACAUGUUUAUACUGCUAUGAAGUAUGUUUUCAAAAACAUGUUUAUGAAAAAUGAAGCUUUAUUUCUUUCACACAACAUUUCUUUCCUGACACAUACUUCUCCUAGCCUCAACCUCUUAAUAUAGUUAUCCAAGGAGUGUAUUAUGAGGUUUCCUUUCUUGCAAAACUUUAUUUAUUUAUUUAUUGUUUGCUUAUUUGUUUUUGUUUUGUUU
Microcebus murinus (gray mouse lemur) is the source of this 2266-nucleotide non-coding RNA. Lineage: Eukaryota; Metazoa; Chordata; Mammalia; Primates; Cheirogaleidae. The record is from RefSeq and is a predicted model, not a curated record.